Molecule: ribosomal RNA, 274 nt
Filed under: uncultured bacterium
Lineage: Bacteria
Description: partial 16S ribosomal RNA
Rfam family: Bacterial small subunit ribosomal RNA
Source: RNAcentral
AUACGGAGGGUGCAAGCGUUACUCGGAAUCACUGGGCGUAAAGCGCGCGCAGGCGGUCUUUUAAGUUGGAUGUGAAAGCCUACGGCUCAACCGUAGAACUGCAUCCAAAACUAUUAGACUAGAGUGUGGGAGAGGAAGAUGGAAUUAGUUGUGUAGGGGUAAAAUCCGUAGAGAUAACUAGGAAUACCAAAAGCGAAGGCAAUCUUCUGGAACACUACUGACGCUGAGGCGCGAAAGCGUGGGGAGCAAACAGGAUUAGAUACCCUUGUAGUCC